This 766-nucleotide ribosomal RNA is filed under the name uncultured organism. RNAcentral's name for it is "bacterial SSU rRNA". It matches the Rfam family "Bacterial small subunit ribosomal RNA", at positions 39 to 825 of the family's 1533-position model. The record is from RNAcentral.
GCGGCGCGCUUAUGCAUGCAAGUCGAGCGAUGAGGCCCUCUUCGGGGGGUACAUCAGCGGCAGACGGGUGAGUAACACGUAGGUGAUCUACCCCAGAGACGGGGAUAACGGGUGGAAACAUCCGCUAAUACCGGAUAGACUUGUUCGGUCAAAGGGACAAGGAAAGGCUCCGGCGCUCUGGGAGGAGCCUGCGGNCCAUCAGCUAGUUGGCGGGGUAACGGCCCACCAAGGCAAAGACGGGUAGGGGGUGUGAGAGCAUGGCCCCCCACAAUGGGACUGGAACACGGCCCAUACUCCUACGGGAGGCAGCAGCAGGGAAUAUUGCACAAUGGACGGAAGUCUGAUGCAGCGACGCCGCGUGGAUGAAGAAGGCCCUCGGGUUGUAAAAUCCUUUACAGGGGGAAGAGGAAGGACGGUACCCCUGGAACAAGUGUCGGCUAUCUACGUGCCAGCAGCCGCGGUAAGACGUAGGACACAAGCGUUAUCCGGAUUUACUGGGCGUAAAGCGUCUGCAGGCGGACAGGUAAGUUGGGCGUGAAAGCUCCGGGCCCAACCCGGAGAGGUCGUUCAAUACUGCGUGUCUAGAGGGUGUCAGAGGGGAGUGGAAUUUCCGGAGUAGCGGUAAAAUGCGCAGAGAUCGGAAAGAACACCAAUGGCGAAGGCAGCUCCCUGGGGCAACCCUGACGCUAAGAGACGAAAGCUAGGGGAGCGAACAGGAUUAGAGACCCUGGUAGUCCUAGCCCUAAACGAUGGAUGCUGGAUGUGG